RNAcentral lists this ribosomal RNA (252 nucleotides) under uncultured bacterium. RNAcentral describes it as "partial 16S ribosomal RNA". It matches the Rfam family "Bacterial small subunit ribosomal RNA", at positions 524 to 776 of the family's 1533-position model. The record is from RNAcentral.
UACGUAGGGGGCUAGCGUUAUCCGGAAUUACUGGGCGUAAAGGGUGCGUAGGUGGUUUCUUAAGUCUGGUGUAAAAGGCAGUGGCUCAACCAUUGUAUGCAUUGGAAACUGGUAGACUUGAGUGCAGGAGAGGAGAGUGGAAUUCCAUGUGUAGCGGUGAAAUGCGUAGAUAUAUGGAGGAACGCCGGUGGCGAAAGCGGCUCUCUGGCCUGUAACUGACACUGAGGCUCGAAAGCGUGGGGAGCAAACAGG